Molecule: ribosomal RNA, 480 nt
Filed under: Treponema sp. oral taxon G85
Lineage: Bacteria; Pseudomonadati; Spirochaetota; Spirochaetia; Treponematales; Treponemataceae
Description: bacterial SSU rRNA
Rfam family: Bacterial small subunit ribosomal RNA
Source: RNAcentral
AACGAACGCUGCGGCGCGUCUUAAGCAUGCAAGUCGGACGGCAAGAAGGGGCUCGCCCCUUCCUAGAGUGGCGGACUGGUGAGUAACGCGUGGACGACGCGCCCACCCGACGGGGACAGCCGGUAGAAAUACCGGAUAAUACCGGAUGAUCUCUUUUGGAAUAAAGGCGAAAGAGGAAAGCGGCUCCGGCCGCGGGUGGAGCGGUCCGCGUCCUAUCAGCUAGUCGGCGGGGUGAAGGCCCGCCGAGGCGACGACGGGUAUCCGGCCUGAGAGGGUGGACGGACACAUUGGGACUGAGAUACGGCCCAGACUCCUACGGGAGGCAGCAGCUAAGAAUAUUCCGCAAUGGGGGGAACCCCGACGGAGCGACGCCGCGUGGACGACGAAGGCCGGAAGGUUGUAAAGUCCUUUUUUCCGCGAGGAAUAAGGCCGGGAGGGAAUGCCCGGCCGGUGACGGUAGCGGAGGAAUAAGCACGGCUA